UGUAUUCGCAUUCUAAGGGGGUGUUUGGUAUUUGGAAAAUGGGAUUGUUUUUCCAAAUACCAAACACCUAGAGAGACUUGUGCAAGAUUUAGGGUUAUUUGGGCAAAUCGCGUUUCCUGCAAAAUCGAGUCAAGAGCUCUGUGCUAAACAUAGGGUUACUUGGGCAAAUCAGUUUAAGAGUUGGAGCUAGCUGUGGUUUCUAAAUCGAGUUAAAGGUUUGGCAAAUCAGUUUAAGAGUUGAGCUUAUACACACUGCGGUUUCGAAAUCGAGUUCUAGGUAUCGUACUAUACAUUUCGUUUUGGAGAUACUGUUAUGCUGAACCUUGUUCUUUUUGCCUUGAAACUUCAUUUUUUAUACUUUCGACGCUGAUUAAUAGUUAGUUUGUAUCGAUUGUUUGAAAAACGGAGUUGCAGAAGUGUUUAUUUAUUUAUUUAAAAUUGAUUGUAACUUAUUUGCUAAUUGCUAUCCGUUACUGUUGUUUACAUCCCUUAUAAGCAAGAUUAUAAACAAGCAUAACAUUUAGUAACAUUUCAGUGAUAGAGAAACAUUUUAGUGAUUAGAAGUUUGGUUGCAUAUGCUAGACAUUAAGUAACAUUUAUGUACAUUAUUUACUUAUUAGCCCAAAAGUUCUGCAUAUGGCGGACUCAAAACCACUUGCUAGAUAAUAACAAUGUUUAAGACAAAAUACCAACUCUUUUUAAAUAAAUAGUAGCAUGAGUUUGUUUUCUAAUCAAUUUGAACAAAACUCCAAGUGGUUCAAUUCUGGUAAACUUUACUAUGUUAGUUGAAACUCUUAGGGGGUGUUUGGUUUUAGGGGGUUUGGAUUUUGAAGGAUUUGAAUUUGAAAUCCACUCAAAUACCAUGUUUGGUUAAAAAGAAGAUAGCGUUCCAUAUGAUUUGUUUACAAAAUAUCAACUCUUCAUACAAGUAAUUUUUUUUCUCUCCAUGAAACAUGUUCGGUUUCAACCUAGUGCUGAAAUGGUCUCAAUCUUCCUUUUUCAUUUUUGACAUUAUUGGGUUAAAGAAAACAAAUGUAAGCCCAUAAAUCAAAAAUAUUACACCUGUGAAGCAUUUCUAUAGGUUCAGAAUAACAUAUAUCAUUCAUUGGUUUUAUGUUCAUAAAAGAAUUGCUAUGAACUGAAUUUUAAGAAAUAACCAACAGCAAGAGCAAUAAUCAAAAGCUUACUGUAUUGAAUAGAAGGUGUAAAAGCUGCACUUUAAUCCACAAAACUUUACUAAUCCAAUAUCCUCCACAAUUCAAUAGAAGGUGUAAAAGUUGCACUUUAUUUAUUUUCAUAGCAGUUAGUAAAACAUUAGUAAUUGUUUUCUGAUAGACCCUGAUACAUUUUUGCAUAAGAAUCAGAUUUCAUUGAUAAUCAAGCUAUGAAACAGAUAAAAGAUAUUAGGGUUUUUCCAUUCAUUCGAGUGGAAUGGACUCUCCAAGAAGAACAAUCUUCAAUUCAUAAUAAUUCUUAGCAAUCAAAACAAAAACCUCCAUGGGGUACUCUUUACGUCAACAUUAUUCACAGGGAUUGUUCAUCGUUAUUUAGGGUAUGGAGAUGGUGAACAACACUGAUCAAAUCACUCGGCUGGAGACGGACUUGGCUAAACUCCGCCGGUAUCUUUUAAUUUAGGAUAGGUUUAUCUAUUAACACUUANNNNNNNNNNNNNGGUUUUGAAAUGACUUUUUGAUUAAGAUGGAAUAAGAAUUAUAGAGUUUUGCUCUGUUUUGAGAGAAUCCCUUAGUCUCGAAUAACAGGUCUUAUCAAAGCUCUUCUCCCAAUGGAGAGCUCCAGGUAUUUGGGGUCAAUGAUCCACAAGGGUAGUGGAGGUAAAUAUUACACAUCCUAUAAAGGCAGGUUGCCUGAGCAAGAAGGACCACAAGAGAGAUGGUAGUAGCAACAAGAGAGAUAGUAGUAACAAAAAUGAGUAUGUUGAGGUGGACUUGUGGCACGACUCUGCUAACUAGGACACCAAAUGUAGCUAUAAGAAAUGCAUUGAGUGUGACACAAAUCACUAAAAAAUUGAGAGAAUGAAGACUUAGGUGGUAUGAACAAAAGGAGGCCCCUAUCUGCAACGGUAAGGAGGGUGAAGCCAAUGGUUGUUCAAUGUAGGAGGAGGAGAGGACAUCUGAGAAGGAAGUGAGAUGAUAGUAUAUGGCCAUAUAUGGAGGAGCUUGCUCUUUCUGAGGACAUGACCUCAAAAAGGAGGGUUAAAUAUUAGGGUUUUUGAGUAACUUCUCCCUUUGUAUAUGUGUCGCGGGGUUUGGUUUUUUGCUGUUAGUAUUUGCUCCUUUUUAUGUGUUACUUCUCUCCCAAACUAUCUUUUCCCUUGUUAGCAUCUUUUGCAGGUUUCCUGGAGCUUCCAUCGAUUCUAUGACUUUUUAAGUGUUUUUGUCUCAAUGCUCAAUUUCACCCACCUCCCCAAUAUCCCAUCCAAAUGGAAUUUGGAUUCCAUGGUUUGACGUCAUUGCUGCAUUUGAAUUGUAGAUAUAAUAAGUAUCAUCAGGUCGAAAUCCAUACGAGGUUUGAAGCAAAAUUAAGUAAAAUUAUGCUGAUAUAAAAGUUCCUCAAAUCCCUAAUUAUCCAAGCAUAAGAUACAUAUUAGCUUCCCUCUUUUCAUUAACAUUAUACGUGUUGUGUUCAAGGGUGGACUGUGCUAUCCCUAAAAAAAAAAUCCUGAGUACAGUAAAAAUUAAUAAAAAAAGGUUUAGUUUAUAAUACUUAGCCCACUUAGCCCAAUGUUUAUACUUCAAAAAGCUAAAAGUCCAAUUAACGUCCAAAUGACUUUGUGAACUGUGAGCUCAUUCAAAAUACCAUGUUGGAAAUAGUGGAGGAUUGGUUUCAUAAAGAAAUGAAAAAACAAAAUCGCUAGAAGCUUGGAACACAACUUCGUUGUUAUCAUUGGACGUGGACGACUGGAAUAGAGAAAGAAAAAUAUCAAUUGUGAAUCACCUGUUGUUGCGGUUUUGACUAUAGCGGAAGAAAUAGAGGUAGAAGGAAGAAAUCGUUGGGAGUUUAGAAAUCACAGACUCCAAAAUCGAGAUCAUGAAACAAAUAAGUUUCCUAUAUGCUUGUUAUGUACCCUAAUUUUAAUAAUAAUAAAUUACCAUGCAUGUAACUUUGAACUUUGGAGCUGUGGUCUUGAUUAGAGGUGUGACUUUGAACUUUUGAGCUGCGAUUUUAAUUUUGAGUAGUGAUUUUGAUUUUAAUUAUAAGCUUGUAGAGUAAUUAAUUUGUGAAGCUCUUCAGGUUUGAAUCGACAAGAUUAAAUUAAAAUCUAAAAUCACUUCUUCAAAUUAAAAUUGUAGUUCAAAAGUUUAAGGUCGCUCUUCUAAUCAAGAGGGUAAAAUCACAACUCAAAAAUUCAAAGUUGAAUGCUUGAUAAUUUGUGAUUAUUAAAAUUAGGGUUCCUAACAGUCAUAUAGGAAACUUACAUGUUUCAUGAUUUCAAUUUUAAAGGCUGCAAUUUUUAACCUUCCAACAAUUUUGUCCUUCUACUUUUUGUUCUUCCACUGUAGACAACACCGCAAAAGUUCAUGCCAUUCACUGUUGAUGUUUUUAUUUCUCUAUUCCAGCCGUCCAGGUCCCGCGGUAGCAGCGAGUUCUGUUCUAAGCUUCUAGCAAUUUUGCUUUUUUCGAUUUUUGAUGAAAUCGGUCCUCCCGCUCUUUCCGAUGUUGCAUUUGAGUGAGCCCACAAAAUCCACAUUUGGACGUUAAUUGGGCUUUUAGCCUUUUGAAGUUUAAACAUUAGGCUAAGUAGUGGCACCUUAAACUAAUCUUUUAAAAAAAAAAAAAUUACAGUAUGCACGAUUUUUUGAGGGGAGCACAGUCUACCCGUGUAUGAUUGUCUUCCGAAUUCUUGAUCACUUGAUCCAUGGUUUGUGCUCUCAAGGAAGAACAUGUAAUGUAAUCCUAGAAAGAUUUGUGAUGAGGUGAAGGCCAAAGGUUUUGUUCCAAGUAGUAAAUCGUAUAACCCGCUUGUGAAUUCUUUAACACUUGAGGGUGAAGUAGAUGAAGCUGUGAGUUACUUGAGGGAGAUGAUUGGAAAUCAAAGGUCGGCUGCAUUACCUAUUUCACUAUGCUUCAUUAGUUUUCCACACAGCAGAGGUGUGGAGAUGCGGUAAAUUUGCUAAAGGAAUUGCAAGACAAAAGCUUGGUGGAUCCAACUACUUACAGGAAGCUUCAACAUCAACUUCAACUCAAUUAUAGAAAUUUAUAUGAUUCAGGAAUUCAUAAAUUUUGUUAUUGGUUAUAUUUUGUGCCAUCUUUUUGUUUAUCAAUGAUAUAUAGUUGCAUUCUCACUACCAUACUGUUAUCAUAAUUAAAAAUUAAAGCGAACAAGUUUUUUAAAGAAAAUGAUAUUGCUAGUGAAGCAAGAGUGCGUUUGACGGAUAAAAGACGUAAAUACCUUGUCAACCCCCACCCCCCACACACAUACACAUACAGUAUAGUUAUGUUGAUGCGGAUUCCAAGGUCAUAUAUGAUCUGGAUUCUGGAAUACAAUUCCCUUUCCUACCCAUGGGUAUAUCAUACCUGCAUAUUAGCCAGUUGGUAUGGUGGGGGCAACAAAGUCAUUUUCAGUCAUUCAUUUGAGUUUUUUCUUUGUGUAUUUUAAAGACAGGUUGGUGUGGGCAUUUAAGUAUAAGAGAUUAUAUUUAGAAAAGCAACUGCUGGUUGUGGUUGUGAAAUCUCUUUCUAAUCAUCACUCCUUCUCUUGUGUGGACCAAUUCAAGAUUCAAAUGUCUGAUCAGUCAUCAUCUGCCACAUUGUAAAUUCCUUUUGAAACUUUUAUAUUUUUAUAAUAUAAAUAAACUAGAGUGCAUGGAAACACUCGAUAUAUAUCUUCAUGAAAAUCGUAACUUUUCCUUUUUUUGCAAAG
This 4882-nucleotide long non-coding RNA is filed under the name Lactuca sativa (garden lettuce). RNAcentral's name for it is "long non-coding RNA (LSAT_LNC003241)". Lineage: Eukaryota; Viridiplantae; Streptophyta; Magnoliopsida; Asterales; Asteraceae. The record is from RNAcentral.